AUGCCAAUUAUAGGGGUGCCGAGGUGCCUUGAAAAACCCUUUUGCGCGCCUGCGAAGUUUCCAUUUUCGGUCAAAAAGAAUAUCCGAAUUUUAGAUUUGGACCCUCGUACAGAAGCCUAUUGUCUAAGCCUAAAUUCAGUCUGCUCUAAACGGCUUCCAUGCAAGAAAUAUUUCUAUCUCUUGAAUUCGUACAACAUUAAACGUGUGUUGGGAGUCGUAUACUGUUAG
RNAcentral lists this small RNA (228 nucleotides) under Saccharomyces cerevisiae (brewer's yeast). Its description in RNAcentral is "YIL174W". The record is from RNAcentral. Lineage: Eukaryota; Fungi; Ascomycota; Saccharomycetes; Saccharomycetales; Saccharomycetaceae.